RNAcentral lists this unclassified non-coding RNA (21 nucleotides) under Chlamydomonas reinhardtii. RNAcentral describes it as "small RNA Cre_3647". The record is from RNAcentral. Lineage: Eukaryota; Viridiplantae; Chlorophyta; Chlorophyceae; Chlamydomonadales; Chlamydomonadaceae.
UGUGUUUGGGGCGCGCCGCGG